AGGCCUGUAGCUCCAACGGCAGAGCACCCGGCUCCAAACCGGGGGGUUGGGGGUUCAAAUCCCUCCAGGCCUG
RNAcentral lists this transfer RNA (73 nucleotides) under Caldifarciminota bacterium. Its description in RNAcentral is "candidate division WOR-3 bacterium tRNA-Trp". It matches the Rfam family "tRNA". From Rfam's summary of the family: Transfer RNA (tRNA) molecules are approximately 80 nucleotides in length. Their secondary structure includes four short double-helical elements and three loops (D, anti-codon, and T loops). The record is from RNAcentral. Lineage: Bacteria; Pseudomonadati; Caldifarciminota.